AUUAAAGUGGCAGAUUAAUGCUUGGGAUUUAAGCUCCUUAUAUGAUUUUAUCCUUUAAUA
RNAcentral lists this transfer RNA (60 nucleotides) under Allothyrus sp. LamingtonNP-QMS95173. Its description in RNAcentral is "tRNA-Leu". Lineage: Eukaryota; Metazoa; Arthropoda; Arachnida; Holothyrida; Allothyridae. The record is from RNAcentral.